AGGAUAAUAGUUUAAAUUAAAACAUUUAAUUUGCAUUUAAAAAAUAUUUAUUAUUAAUUUAUCUUA
RNAcentral lists this transfer RNA (66 nucleotides) under Galeruca macchoi. RNAcentral describes it as "tRNA-Ala". The record is from RNAcentral. Lineage: Eukaryota; Metazoa; Arthropoda; Insecta; Coleoptera; Chrysomelidae.